This 63-nucleotide transfer RNA is filed under the name Loxoblemmus doenitzi. RNAcentral's name for it is "tRNA-Leu". Lineage: Eukaryota; Metazoa; Arthropoda; Insecta; Orthoptera; Gryllidae. The record is from RNAcentral.
GCUAUAUUGGCAGAGAAGUGCAAUGAAUUUAGAAUUCAUAUAUGUAAUUAAUUACAUAUAGUA